Molecule: ribosomal RNA, 536 nt
Filed under: Enophrys bison (buffalo sculpin)
Lineage: Eukaryota; Metazoa; Chordata; Actinopteri; Perciformes; Cottidae
Description: partial 16S ribosomal RNA
Rfam family: Bacterial large subunit ribosomal RNA
Source: RNAcentral
GCCCAACAGCUAGCCCACUUAAAGAAUUUCAACAAACCCUUGUUAAUAACCCCUAAAUACCCCAGUAUUUAAAUUAAACAAACCAUUUUUCCCCCCUAGUAUAGGCGAUAGAAAAGGGACUACGGCGCUAUAGAGAAAGUACCGCAAGGGAACGCUGAAAGAGAAAUGAAACAACCCAGUAAAACCUAAAAAAGCAGAGAUUUAAGCUCGUACCUUUUGCAUCAUGAUUUAGCGAGUGUACCCCAAGCAAAGAGCACUUUAGUUUGACGUCCCGAAACUACGUGAGCUACUCCAAGACAGCCUAUUAAUAGGGCACACCCGUCUCUGUUGCAAAAGAGUGGGAAGAGCUUUGAGUAGAGGUGACAAACCUACCGAACCUAGUCAUAGCUGGUUGUCCAAGAAAUGAAUAGAAGUUCAGCCUCUUGGCUUCUCUUUUCACCCUAGUCUAACCCCUAUUGAUGCCUUAAAGAAACCGAGAGAGUUAGUCAAAGGGGGUACAGCCCCUUUGAAUCAAGACACAACUUUAUCAGGAGGGU